GUGGAAAAGGCAUUGUUACCGAUUGAUUGAGCUUGGUUCGAGGGAAGAUCGGAGCUGAAGAUGCGAGUACGAGUAAAACUCCAAGCAAUGGAACAGUAAUUCCAAAGGCAACCAUGGAACAGAGUAACAAAGCAUAAGGAAAUGAGAAGAGCAUGCAGGAGAAGCAAAUGUAGGGAGCUGGGGAAAGAUCAUGGGCUGGAUUAUUUAGUGAGAAUAAACUUGUAGCUAAAGGAAUGAAUCUAUCAUAUAUCUCACAAGUGAUACAAUAUGGUAAAAUGGUGGUGCAAUUGCUGGAAGAUGACAUAGCGGAGUAACAACAAAAAUGGAAUAGAGCCUUAAUUCUAUAUGUAGUAGGAAACAUCCUAACAAUUGGAGCAAUUGAGCGUUUCAUAGCUCAACAAUGGGGAAAAAUCAGGAAGCCAAAGGUAUUGUUUCA
Molecule: long non-coding RNA, 436 nt
Organism: Nicotiana tabacum (common tobacco)
Lineage: Eukaryota; Viridiplantae; Streptophyta; Magnoliopsida; Solanales; Solanaceae
Source: RefSeq, a predicted model, not a curated record